RNAcentral lists this unclassified non-coding RNA (213 nucleotides) under Hevea brasiliensis (rubber tree). The record is from RNAcentral. Lineage: Eukaryota; Viridiplantae; Streptophyta; Magnoliopsida; Malpighiales; Euphorbiaceae.
AAGAAUUUACAGUACUUGUAAGUCAUUUUUGACAAUGUCUAUUAUCUCUUCACGUGGAUAUUUUGCUUAUUAAUAUUGCCAAAGUCUUCUCUUUUUCUAUUCGUCUUGCAUCGCUCAAUUGCACUUUGUAUAUUCUUUAUAGAAAGUUUUGCUGUUCACUGUUUUCUAGUUUCAUAAUACUGAUUUAUGAAAUUUAUUAUUUUGUGAAUAAUA